Molecule: ribosomal RNA, 658 nt
Filed under: Phlegmacium aquilanum
Lineage: Eukaryota; Fungi; Basidiomycota; Agaricomycetes; Agaricales; Cortinariaceae
Description: eukaryotic LSU rRNA
Rfam family: 5.8S ribosomal RNA (bases 255-408)
Source: RNAcentral
CUGCGGAAGGAUCAUUAUUGAAAUAAAACUGAUGAGUUGCUGCUGGUUCUCUAGGGAACAUGUGCACACUUGUCAUAUUUAUAUCUCCACCUGUGCACCUUUUGUAGACCUGGAUAUCUCUCUGAGUGUUAGCCACUCAGGUUUGAGGAUUGACUUCAUGUCUCUCCUUACAUUUCCAGGCCUAUGUUUCUUCAUAUACCCCAAUGUAUGUCAUAGGAUGUAAUCAAUGGGCCUUUGUGCCUAUAAAUCUAUACAACUUUCAGCAACGGAUCUCUUGGCUCUCGCAUCGAUGAAGAACGCAGCGAAAUGCGAUAAGUAAUGUGAAUUGCAGAAUUCAGUGAAUCAUCGAAUCUUUGAACGCACCUUGCGCUCCUUGGUAUUCCGAGGAGCAUGCCUGUUUGAGUGUCAUUAAUAUAUCAACCUCUUCAUCUUUUGUUUGUCGAGUGUUGGAUGUGGGGGUUUUUUUUUGCUGGUCUUCUAAAAGGUCAGCUCCCCUGAAAUGUAUUAGCGGAACCUUCUGUGGACCGUUCAUUGGUGUGAUAACUAUCUACGCUAUUGACGCGAAGCAGUUCAGCUUCUAACAGUCCAUUGACUUGGACAAAUUUUCAUUAAUGUGACCUCAAAUCAGGUAGGACUACCCGCUGAACUUAAGCAUAUC